GGUAGGAAGGAGGAGAGCUCAGCAGGAAGGUUUGGAGCUGCUGGAGAAGCUCUUACUAGAGGGUGUAAAGCACGAGGAGGCAGCACAAGGAUUCUCAUCUUCCAACAAACGAAUGCCCUGCAGGAAUGGGACGGGAAGCAGACAGCCCCCGGAGCUGCCAUCUGAGAGCAGAAUGAAGGAGGAAGGCUGCAGAAGAGGUCCAGAGUGUGCCAUGAGCUUGUCAGUGCAGCUCCGGAAAGCUUGAGCGAUGCCCCUGGGACACCACAGGGCUGGAAGGAUCUGUGAGGAAUCUGCUGGAGGGGAAAAACAAUGAAUAAAAACACAAAAGCCUCUCCCAGCCACCAUGGUGCCAGGAGCAGGAACUGCGUGGCUUCCAGAGAUCAAGCUCUGGCAAAUAACAAAUGCCAGGAGCGGGGAAACCUUCUCAGGAUGGCCAUGAAAGACCCAGCAAUGGGGAGGGGGGGCUGCUAACACAAAGAAGGAGGAAAAGGACACGGCUGGGAGGCACUGUCACCACCCAGGGCACUUCCAGAAGGUUAAAGUCUGAUGUGGGAAGGCUCUGCCAGGCUGGCAAAGUAGGUCAGAAUUAAGUACGGUUCAACUGCGAUGCGGCGUGACUGAUGUCUGCGCUCUCAGGGCUGGAUGGAGUCCACCCUGCAGAGCAAUCUCUGCCUCCCCGGAGAGGAGCGAGGCGCUCUGCCAGGCCUGCACGCUCCGGGAGGAGGUGAUCUGGGGUCCCCAUCAGCACACAGGGGUGGGCAGGGUCAAGGUCAAGCGGUGGGCUGAUUAGAGGUCAGGUCGUAGUAAAUGGCCUGGAAAUGAUGAAAACUCAGUGGUUUUCUUCAAAGGCAGGGUGGGUUAUCACCAGCAAACGGGAAGGUUGGGAGCGAUGAAACAGUUCCCCCCAGAAGGGGAAGAGAGAAAUGGUGUCAGGGCAGGCACUAACACCGGUUCAGGGGACAGGGAGGCACAGAGGUGACAGCCACGUGCAGGUCAUGAGCGCAGGGAGAGGCUCCAGCCCUGCAGUGACAGCAGAGAGGGGAAGUGGCUGCCCCAGGAGCCAGCAGCACUCAGAGAAGGUGUCUUUUGUCCCAGCGUGGUUUAAGGCAAAGAUUUCUUGCGAGCUGUGUGCUUUAGGGGGUGGCUUUAGAUAAACCCUCUCCAAAGAAGGGGAAGGGAUGUCUGCAGGUAAAGCUUAGAUAUGUUUUAGCAGUGUA
Hirundo rustica (Barn swallow) is the source of this 1217-nucleotide long non-coding RNA. RefSeq lists it as uncharacterized. The transcript is spliced from 3 exons. Lineage: Eukaryota; Metazoa; Chordata; Aves; Passeriformes; Hirundinidae. The record is from RefSeq and is a predicted model, not a curated record.